Phyllostomus discolor (pale spear-nosed bat) is the source of this 637-nucleotide long non-coding RNA. RefSeq lists it as uncharacterized. Lineage: Eukaryota; Metazoa; Chordata; Mammalia; Chiroptera; Phyllostomidae. The transcript has 2 exons. The record is from RefSeq and is a predicted model, not a curated record.
GCAGAGCCCGGCCGGGCCAUGGCGACAGGCGGACGCUUUUUUUGGUGGGUUGUUUUAGGAAAGCUCCUGGCGGUGUGAUGACCACUUCAAAUUCACUGGAUCCAGCACUACAGCCUGAGAGCACAGUGCCUGCUUUCCCAGGGGACCGGCCCAAUAUGUAGUAGGUACCUGAUUAAAAAAAAAAAAAACACCUAACUUGUAAGCCGUUGUACUAAGAACUUUGCCAAAUUUGUUGCAUUUAAUCCUUGUAAUGAUCAGGAGAGCGUUUUAUUCUCACUUUACACAUGUGGACACUGAGACAUGGGCAACCUGAGAGACUUGGCAGUAACUGCACACUUCUUAGUGGUCCACCCAGGACUUACACCUGCAUCUGCCUGGCUCCAAAGCCCAUAUUGUAGUAUUUGCUGAUGUGAAAUAAAAUGGUUUACCUUUAGCACUGAUGAAACUGACACCUUGUUUGGAAGAUAGGCAGGUUAGGUUUUGUGAACCCAGAGAAAGGGUGGGGGAAGACACCUACUAAGAAAGGCUCCUUGUGGCUAUCGGGGCUCAAAUAAAAAAGCAGAAGGUAAGUCUGGCAAGUGGUUCAGUUGGAUGGAGUGUCCUCCCACACAACCAAAAGGCUGUGGGCUUGAUUCCA